AGAGUUCGAUCCUGGCUCAGGACGAACGCUGGCGGCGCGCCUAACACAUGCAAGUCGAACGAGCGAGAGAGAGCUUGCUUUCUCAAGCGAGUGGCGAACGGGUGAGUAACGCGUGAGGAACCUGCCUCAAAGAGGGGGACAACAGUUGGAAACGACUGCUAAUACCGCAUAAGCCCACAGCUCGGCAUCGAGCAGAGGGAAAAGGAGCAAUCCGCUUUGAGAUGGCCUCGCGUCCGAUUAGCUGGUUGGUGAGGUAAUGGCCCACCAAGGCGACGAUCGGUAGCCGGACUGAGAGGUUGAACGGCCACAUUGGGACUGAGACACGGCCCAGACUCCUACGGGAGGCAGCAGUGGGGAAUAUUGCACAAUGGGGGAAACCCUGAUGCAGCGACGCCGCGUGGAGGAAGAAGGUCUUCGGAUUGUAAACACCUGUUGUUGAGGAAGAUAAUGACGGUACUCAACAAGGAAGUGACGGCUAACUACGUGCCAGCAGCCGCGGUAAAACGUAGGUCACAAGCGUUGUCCGGAAUUACUGGGUGUAAAGGGAGCGCAGGCGGGAAGACAAGUUGGAAGUGAAAUCUAUGGGCUCAACCCAUAAACUGCUUUCAAAACUGUNUUUCUUAAGUAGUGCAGAGGUAGGCGGAAUUCCCGGUGUAGCGGUGGAAUGCGUAGAUAUCGGGAGGAACACCAGUGGCGAAGGCGGCCUACUGGGCACCAACUGACGCUGAGGCUCGAAAGUGUGGGUAGCAAACAGGAUUAGAUACNCUGGUAGUCCACACCGUAAACGAUGAUUACUAGGUGUUGGAGGAUUGACCCCUUCAGUGCCGCAGUUAACACAAUAAGUAAUCCACCUGGGGAGUACGACCGCAAGGUUGAAACUCAAAGGAAUUGACGGGGGCCCGCACAAGCAGUGGAGUAUGUGGUUUAAUUCGACGCAACGCGAAGAACCUUACCAAGUCUUGACAUCCUGCGACGCACAUAGAAAUAUGUGUUUCCUUCGGGACGCAGAGACAGGUGGUGCAUGGUUGUCGUCAGCUCGUGUCGUGAGAUGUUGGGUUAAGUCCCGCAACGAGCGCAACCCUUGCUGUCAGUUACUACGCAAGAGGACUCUGGCAGGACUGCCGUUGACAAAACGGAGGAAGGUGGGGAUGACGUCAAAUCAUCAUGCCCUUUAUGACUUGGGCUACACACGUACUACAAUGGCGUUAAACAAAGAGAAGCAAGACCGCGAGGUGGAGCAAAACUCAGAAACAACGUCCCAGUUCGGACUGCAGGCUGCAACUCGCCUGCACGAAGUCGGAAUUGCUAGUAAUCGUGGAUCAGCAUGCCACGGUGAAUACGUUCCCGGGCCUGUACACACCGCCCGUCA
RNAcentral lists this ribosomal RNA (1369 nucleotides) under uncultured bacterium. RNAcentral's name for it is "16S ribosomal RNA". It matches the Rfam family "Bacterial small subunit ribosomal RNA". The record is from RNAcentral.